This 511-nucleotide long non-coding RNA is filed under the name Phoenix dactylifera (date palm). RNAcentral's name for it is "long non-coding RNA (PDAC_LNC022743)". Lineage: Eukaryota; Viridiplantae; Streptophyta; Magnoliopsida; Arecales; Arecaceae. The record is from RNAcentral.
GAGCCGUGGCCAAGAGAUCCGGAAGAGUGACUCGGAUCCAACGGGAGGAAAGGCAACCUACCGAGCCAUCUCCCGUGUCUCCACGACGUGAGGCACGUGCGGAGGCCCCUCCUCCUCCUUCCCCCUCAGUGAUACUUGCAAGAUUUGCGGGGAGGCCGGUUACAACGGGGAGAAGGAUCUAUUCCGAGUUUUUCAAUCAAGAAGGGUUUCGGAUUUGGGAAUGGAUCCAAAGACAAGGUUGGGAGUAUCUUUGCUCCCUAGAUGUGGUAAUCUACCCCGAUUUGGUACAAGAGUUCUAUGCCUUCCUCAAGACUGGUUUGGGAGGGCUUGUUUCAGAAGUUCGAGGGGUUCGGAUCCGAGUAUCCGAGGAGAGCUUGAGUGAGCUACUUCAUCUACCUUGCAUAGGAGCCACUCCGGAAAAGCCAGAAAACAAAAUGAGAGCUCUACAAUUGAUCAUGGAAAAUGAGAACUUCGAUUUCUCCACGAAGGUAAUAGCUAGUUCUCUUUCCGC